This 504-nucleotide ribosomal RNA is filed under the name uncultured Verrucomicrobiota bacterium. RNAcentral describes it as "bacterial SSU rRNA". It matches the Rfam family "Bacterial small subunit ribosomal RNA", at positions 400 to 896 of the family's 1533-position model. Lineage: Bacteria; Pseudomonadati; Verrucomicrobiota. The record is from RNAcentral.
CGUGGGGAUGAAUGGCUUCGGCCCGUAAACCCCUGUCAUGGGCGAACAAGGCCUCCGGAUUAAUACCUCGGAGGAUUGAUAGUAGCUCAAGAGGAAGGGACGGCUAACUCUGUGCCAGCAGCCGCGGUAAUACAGAGGUCCCGAGCGUUGUUCGGAUUCACUGGGCGUAAAGGGUGCGUAGGUGGUCGGGUAAGUCCGAUGUGAAAUCCCGCAGCUCAACUGCGGAACUGCAUUGGAUACUAUUUGGCUAGAGGGUUGGAGGGGAGACUGGAAUUCUCGGUGUAGCAGUGAAAUGCGUAGAUAUCGAGAGGAACACCCGUGGCGAAGGCGAGUCUCUGGACAACUCCUGACGCUGAGGCACGAAAGCUAGGGGAGCAAACAGGAUUAGAUACCCUGGUAGUCCUGGCUGUAAACGGUGCGCAUUUGCUGUGAGCGGAAUCGACCCCGUUCGUGGCGAAGCUAACGCGUUAAAUGCGCCGCCUGGGGAGUACGGUCGCAAGAUUA